AAGCCUAUAAAGUAGGCGCCAGGGGCACGUGACUCUCUCUCGUCUUUCCCAUCUUCUGUUGCAGCCGCCAUCAUGGACACAGGCCGCGUGCAACCCAUCAAGCUGGCUCGGGUCACCAAGGUGCUGGGCAGGACCGGUUCUCAGGGCCAGUGCACCCAGGUGCGCGUGGAGUUCAUGGACGACACGAGCCGCUCCAUCAUCCGCAACGUGAAGGGCCCCGUGCGGGAGGGGGACGUGCUCACCCUGCUGGAGUCGGAGCGUGAGGCCCGGAGGCUGCGGUGAGACCGACCGCCUCAACUCAGUUCUGUCAUGCUACAGUGGAGGAAACUGAGCCCCAGAAAGAGGUGGAGGCCCCUAGGCUGCUGGUCGUGGAAGGACUGCUAAGGGAUGUGUAAAAUAAAGAGUUUUGUCUAA
Vombatus ursinus (common wombat) is the source of this 414-nucleotide RNA transcript. It is a transcript of the gene named ribosomal protein S28, with no coding region annotated. NCBI's taxonomy places the organism in Eukaryota, Metazoa, Chordata, Mammalia, Diprotodontia, Vombatidae. The record is from RefSeq and is a predicted model, not a curated record. The transcript has 5 exons.